This 429-nucleotide ribosomal RNA is filed under the name Fusobacteriota bacterium. RNAcentral's name for it is "Fusobacteria bacterium partial 16S ribosomal RNA". It matches the Rfam family "Bacterial small subunit ribosomal RNA", at positions 355 to 776 of the family's 1533-position model. The record is from RNAcentral. Lineage: Bacteria; Fusobacteriati; Fusobacteriota.
AGGGGAAUAUUGCGCAAUGGGCGAAAGCCUGACGCAGCGACGCCGCGUGAGGGAUGAAGGUUUUCGGAUCGUAAACCUCUGUCAGAAGGGAAGAAACCGCACUGUGCUAAUCAGCAGUGCCUUGACGGUACCUUCAAAGGAAGCACCGGCUAACUCCGUGCCAGCAGCCGCGGUAAUACGGAGGGUGCAAGCGUUAAUCGGAAUUACUGGGCGUAAAGCGCACGUAGGCUGCUUUGUAAGUCAGGGGUGAAAUCCCACGGCUCAACCGUGGAACUGCCUUUGAUACUGCUUAGCUUGAAUCCGGGAGAGGGUGGCGGAAUUCCAAGUGUAGGAGUGCAAUCCGUAGAUAUCUGGAGGAACAUCAGUGGCGAAGGCGGCCACCUGGACCGGUAUUGACGCUGAGGUGCGAAAGCGUGGGGAGCAAACAGG